CGAUUCAAAAAAAAGCCCUCUUUCUCUCAAUUUUAAAUUCAAUUCAGAAAAUCGAAAAACUCUCUCAUUUCAUUCAGAUCUCAAAAUAAUUAUUUCCGAGCACACAGAAGGAAAAAAAUCUAAACAUGGCGGUGGCACCGACGGCGCGUGAGGAGAACGUGUACAUGGCAAAGCUGGCGGAGCAGGCCGAGAGGUAUGAAGAGAUGGUGGAAUUCAUGGAGAAGGUCUCCAACUCCCUUGGCUCGGAAGAACUAACCGUGGAGGAGAGAAACCUUCUCUCCGUCGCGUAUAAGAAUGUGAUCGGAGCGCGUAGGGCAUCAUGGCGUAUCAUUUCAUCGAUCGAGCAAAAGGAAGAGUCUAGAGGAAAUGAGGAACAUGUUAACUCUAUCCGCGAGUACAGAUCUAAGAUUGAGAAUGAGCUCUCUAAGAUCUGUGAUGGCAUUCUCAAAUUGCUUGAUUCUAAGCUUAUUCCUUCAGCAACAUCUGGUGAUUCCAAGGUUUUUUACCUGAAAAUGAAAGGAGAUUACCACCGCUAUUUGGCUGAGUUCAAGACCGGUGCUGAACGUAAGGAGGCCGCUGAGAGUACUCUCACAGCCUACAAAGCUGCUCAGGAUAUCGCAUCUGCUGAACUUGCCCCAACACAUCCCAUCCGACUUGGACUGGCUCUCAACUUCUCUGUGUUUUAUUAUGAGAUCUUG
RNAcentral lists this unclassified non-coding RNA (698 nucleotides) under Hevea brasiliensis (rubber tree). The record is from RNAcentral. Lineage: Eukaryota; Viridiplantae; Streptophyta; Magnoliopsida; Malpighiales; Euphorbiaceae.